UACGUAGGGGGCGAGCGUUGUCCGGAAUUACUGGGCGUAAAGGGUGCGCAGGCGGCGCGUUAAGUCAGAUGUGAAAAACCUGGGCUUAACUCAGGGAGUGCAUUUGAAACUGGUGUGCUUGAGUGCAGGAGAGGAAAGUGGAAUUCCUAGUGUAGCGGUGAAAUGCGUAGAGAUUAGGAGGAACACCAGUGGCGAAGGCGACUUUCUGGACUGUAACUGACGCUGAGGCACGAAAGCGUGGGGAGCAAACAGG
This 253-nucleotide ribosomal RNA is filed under the name uncultured prokaryote. Its description in RNAcentral is "partial 16S ribosomal RNA". It matches the Rfam family "Bacterial small subunit ribosomal RNA", at positions 524 to 776 of the family's 1533-position model. The record is from RNAcentral.